AUACGGAGGAUCCGAGCGUUAUCCGGAUUUAUUGGGUUUAAAGGGAGCGUAGGUGGAUUGUUAAGUCAGUUGUGAAAGUUUGCGGCUCAACCGUAAAAUUGCAGUUGAAACUGGCAGUCUUGAGUACAGUAGAGGUGGGCGGAAUUCGUGGCGUAGCGGUGAAAUGCUUAGAUAUCACGAAGAACUCCGAUUGCGAAGGCAGCUCACUAGACUGCAACUGACACUGAUGCUCGGAAGUGUGGGUAUCAAACAGGAUUAGAUACCCUGGUAGUCCACACAGUAAACGAUGAAUACUCGCUGUUUGCGAUAUACAGUAAGCGGCCAAGCGAAAGCAUUAAGUAUUCCACCUGGGGAGUACGCCGGCAACGGUGAAACUCAAAUGAAUUGACGGGG
This 393-nucleotide ribosomal RNA is filed under the name uncultured bacterium. RNAcentral describes it as "partial 16S ribosomal RNA". It matches the Rfam family "Bacterial small subunit ribosomal RNA", at positions 523 to 918 of the family's 1533-position model. The record is from RNAcentral.